This 72-nucleotide transfer RNA is filed under the name Marmota marmota marmota (Alpine marmot). It matches the Rfam family "tRNA". From Rfam's summary of the family: Transfer RNA (tRNA) molecules are approximately 80 nucleotides in length. Lineage: Eukaryota; Metazoa; Chordata; Mammalia; Rodentia; Sciuridae. The record is from Rfam by way of RNAcentral. RNAcentral also lists the same sequence under 4 other names.
AGGGCUGGAGCUGAGUGGUAAAGCACUUACCUGGAAUGUGUGAGACACUGAGUUCAAUCCUCAGCACCACCU